AGCCCUUCAGAGUGCCGAGAGAAGGGUUUUUUUUUUUUAUUGGAACAAUACAGGGAAGAUUAGCAUGGUCCCUGCACAAGGAGAAGAUAUUCUUAAACAGGGUGGUUGU
Arvicola amphibius (Eurasian water vole) is the source of this 109-nucleotide small nuclear RNA. Lineage: Eukaryota; Metazoa; Chordata; Mammalia; Rodentia; Cricetidae. The record is from RefSeq and is a predicted model, not a curated record.